GUGCUUGCUUCUGCAGAAUAUAUACUAAAAUUAGAACCAUACAGAGAACAUUAGCAUGCUCCCUGUGCAAGGAUGACAAGCAAAAAAAAUGAGAAUAAAUAUUA
Molecule: small nuclear RNA, 104 nt
Organism: Pteronotus mesoamericanus
Lineage: Eukaryota; Metazoa; Chordata; Mammalia; Chiroptera; Mormoopidae
Source: RefSeq, a predicted model, not a curated record